This 201-nucleotide ribosomal RNA is filed under the name Charinus africanus. RNAcentral describes it as "partial small subunit ribosomal RNA". The record is from RNAcentral. Lineage: Eukaryota; Metazoa; Arthropoda; Arachnida; Amblypygi; Charinidae.
AGUGAGAGCUGGGCUUGAAACCUAAAACUUUUGGCGGUUCUUUAGACUAGUUAGAGGAAUUUGCUGCGUAAUGGAUGAUCCUCAUUAGAUUUUACUUUUUUCUUAAAUACCGCCGUCGACGACAGGUCAAGGUUUAGCAGAUGAAGAAGGUUGAAGGUGGAUUUAAAGGUUGAUAGUGGAUUAUUGGGCUCUAAGGAAUGU